RNAcentral lists this ribosomal RNA (253 nucleotides) under uncultured bacterium. Its description in RNAcentral is "partial 16S ribosomal RNA". It matches the Rfam family "Bacterial small subunit ribosomal RNA", at positions 524 to 776 of the family's 1533-position model. The record is from RNAcentral.
UACGUAGGGCGCAAGCGUUAUCCGGAAUUACUGGGCGUAAAGGGCGCGUAGGCGGCCGAUCAAGUCAGAUGUGAAAGUCCUGGGCUUAACCUGGGGACUGCAUUUGAUACUGAUUGGCUUGAAUUCGGGAGAGGAUAGCGGAAUUCCCAGUGUAGAGGUGAAAUUCGUAGAUAUUGGGAAGAACACCGGUGGCGAAGGCGGCUAUCUGGACCGACAUUGACGCUGAGGCGCGAAAGCGUGGGGAGCAAACAGG